AUGGUGGUGCAAAGCGUUAGCAGGCAGCAAGGAGGUGCUGGACUUAACCUCGAGGCGAUCAAAAGAAUGAUUGCCGAAGGGGUAAAAUCUCAGUUGGUGCAAACUCAAUAUUCCAUGCGGCCAUGGUAUGUUAAACCGUACCCACCUGAUGUAGAUAUGGUUCCCUUCCCAACUAAUUACAGGCAGGCACAGUUUAGCAAGUUUAAUGGGAGUGGAUCUCCUCAUGAACACAUAGCCCACUUUCUCGCAGCUUGUCAGGAUACAACUCAUAAUGAAUCAUUCCUCCUCAGGCAGUUCGUGCAGGCAUUGUCUGGUCCCGCCUUCACUUGGUAA
RNAcentral lists this ribosomal RNA (333 nucleotides) under Triticum aestivum (bread wheat). RNAcentral describes it as "partial small subunit ribosomal RNA". Lineage: Eukaryota; Viridiplantae; Streptophyta; Magnoliopsida; Poales; Poaceae. The record is from RNAcentral.